GACGAACGCUGGCGGCGUGCUUGACACAUGCAAGUCGAACGAUGACGACCGAGCUUGCUCGGUCUGAUUAGCGGCGAACGGGUGAGUAACACGUGAGCAACCUGCCCUUCACUCUGGGAUAACCUCGCGAAAUCGGGGCUAAUACCGUAUAUCAGCUCCUGUCCCAUGGCGGGUGUUGGAACUUUUUUCGGUGCAGGAUGGGCUCGCGGCCUAUCAGUUUGUUUGUGUGGUAGUGGCUCACCAAGGCGAUGACGGGUAGCCGGCCUGAGAGGGCGACCGGCCACACUGGGACUGAGACACGGCCCAGACUCCUACGGGAGGCAGCAGUGGGGAAUAUUGCACAAUGGGCGAAAGCCUGAUGCAGCGACGCCGCGUGAGGGAUGACGGCCUUCGGGUUGUAAACCUCUUUCAGCAGGGAAGAAGCGAAAGUGACGGUACCUGCAGAAGAAGCGCCGGCUAACUACGUG
This 467-nucleotide ribosomal RNA is filed under the name uncultured bacterium. Its description in RNAcentral is "partial 16S ribosomal RNA". It matches the Rfam family "Bacterial small subunit ribosomal RNA", at positions 28 to 507 of the family's 1533-position model. The record is from RNAcentral.